GUGUGUGAGAGAGAGAGAGAGAGAGAGAGAGAGAGAGAGAGAUUUUGUUUCUGCUUGCCUGCCUGCCUGCCUGCCUGCCUCUCUCUCUCUCUCUCUCUCCCUCCCUCCCCCUGCAAAC
RNAcentral lists this microRNA precursor (118 nucleotides) under Podarcis lilfordi (Lilford's wall lizard). The record is from RNAcentral. Lineage: Eukaryota; Metazoa; Chordata; Lepidosauria; Squamata; Lacertidae.